RNAcentral lists this transfer RNA (66 nucleotides) under marine eukaryotic metagenome. It matches the Rfam family "tRNA". Rfam says of the family: Transfer RNA (tRNA) molecules are approximately 80 nucleotides in length. Their secondary structure includes four short double-helical elements and three loops (D, anti-codon, and T loops). The record is from RNAcentral.
CGCGUAGCUCAGUUGGCAGAGCAGCUGACUCUUAAUCAGCGGGUCGGGGGUUCGAGUCCCCCCGCG